Molecule: ribosomal RNA, 841 nt
Filed under: Lomaantha brachypus
Lineage: Eukaryota; Fungi; Ascomycota
Description: eukaryotic LSU rRNA
Rfam family: Eukaryotic large subunit ribosomal RNA
Source: RNAcentral
GGAAAAGAAACCAACAGGGAUUGCCCCAGUAACGGCGAGUGAAGCGGCAACAGCUCAAAUUUGAAAUCUGGCCCCAGGCCCGAGUUGUACUUUGCAGAGGAUGCUUCUGGCGCGGCGCCUUCCAAGUCCCCUGGAACGGGGCGCCGGAGAGGGUGAGAGCCCCGUACGGUCGGCCGCCAAGCCUGUGCGAAGCUCCUUCGACGAGUCGAGUAGUUUGGGAAUGCUGCUCUAAGCGGGAGGUAGACCCCUUCUAAAGCUAAAUAUUGGCCAGAGACCGAUAGCGCACAAGUAGAGUGAUCGAAAGAUGAAAAGCACUUUGAAAAGAGGGUUAAACAGCACGUGAAAUUGUUGAAAGGGAAGCGCUCGUGCCCAGACGUGCGCCGGGGCGAUCAUCUGGCGUUCUCGCCGGUGCACUCGCCCCGGCGCAGGCCAGCGUCGGCUCGGGUGGGGGGACAAAGGCGUCCGGCAUGUGGCCCCUCCGGGGGUGUUAUAGCCGGGCGCGUCAUGCUCCCGCCCGGGCCGAGGUCUGCGCUCUGCAAGGACGCUGGCGUAAUGGGCACUGGCGGCCCGUCUUGAAACACGGACCAAGGAGUCGAGGUCUUGCGCGAGUGUCUGGGUGCCAAACCCGCACGCGCAAUGAAAGUGAACGCAGGUGGGAGCUUCGGCGCACCACCGACCGAUCCUGAUGUUCUCGGAUGGAUUUGAGUAGGAGCGUGGGGCCUCGGACCCGAAAGAUGGUGAACUAUGCUUGGAUAGGGUGAAGCCAGAGGAAACUCUGGUGGAGGCUCGCAGCGGUUCUGACGUGCAAAUCGAUCGUCAAAUCUGAGCAUGGGGGCGAAAG